GAGGAAACUCCGAAACUAUGCCUUUACCGCUCGCAUGGCUGCACCACGGGUGCAAACGGUUACGACUUAGGAAAGCCUCUCUUUCCACUGGCACGGUCACCCCGGCCAAUCCGAAGAGAGCAACGGUCAGCGCGGCGGUCCCCGCACCCCCUCUACCAACCUCUUAACAGCAAACACUCAAUACACCUAACAAAAACUGCCACGCAGUCAUUCCAACAC
Molecule: long non-coding RNA, 219 nt
Filed under: Elaeis guineensis (African oil palm)
Lineage: Eukaryota; Viridiplantae; Streptophyta; Magnoliopsida; Arecales; Arecaceae
Description: long non-coding RNA (EGUI_LNC035191)
Source: RNAcentral